GGGCACAAAGUGUAAUUUCAUGGAAUUGCAUCAAUUCACUUUUGCCUAAGUAACUAAGAUUGGGAAUUUUAUGAAAACAUUUAGUUACUUUUAUACUUCAUUAUACUUAUAAUGGAAGGUUUCGUCCCAUCCUACCCGUUCGGCUAACGACCCUCCACUAGUCAAGAGUGCGGUGGGUAAGAGUGGAUACCCAUUCAAUCGCCAUUUUAUAGGCAAUUUCCUUAAACACCCCUUAUAGACCAGCUUCGUGAAUGAGGCCUACUAACGGUAAGACUGACUUUUACUCAUACAUAUAUAUAAUGUUAGACUUUUAAUGUUAUAUAUAGUAUAGGGUGUAUUUUACACUUUUAAAAUACUAGGUGGUCAAAUUUAACAAUUAUACUUUUAAUUCAAUUAAAUUGUAAACCUAAACUUUUAUGGAUUUAUUAAACCUCUUUUAAUUAUACACCUUAAUUAAUUAAUAAAACCAUAAGGGUGUGAUUUGAACUUUUUCAAAACUAUACUAGAGUUUUAGAAUUUAACAUUCCUAAUUAAACUUUUAAUCAACUUUUAAAUUCCAAAACUUGAGGGCAAGUUUUGAAACAUUUCAACACAUUAGGGUUUAGAAUUUAAAUAUACAUCAAAAUUAAACCAUUUAAUCAAAAUUUAAAUUCCAAAACUUGAGGGCAAGUUUUGAAACCUUUUUCAAAACAUUAGGGUUUUAACUAUUUAAAUUUCAAAACAACAAAACUUUUGGGUUCAAAUUUAAACUAUAAAACCUAAAGGGGAAAAUAUGAAACUUUUCAUAACAACAAGGAUCAAAUAACAAAUAAUCUAAAUUAACAUUUAAUCACAUAAUUAUCCAUAUUUGAUUUAUUUAAUGAUUUCUUGCAAAACAAUUUAUCAAUUUAAUCAAAAUAAUUAAUCAAUUAUCACAUAAGGAAACAAUUAUCUUAUUAAUUGAUAAAUAUCUUCAAUUAGAUCAAAAAUAUAGUCAAAUAUAUCAUAUAAUCGGAUUAAUAUUGAUCUAACAUGAUAAGGUAACUAUCCAUAAGCAAAAACAGCAAGAAAUCCCGAAAUACCCUCCAUCUGACGAGUUGACUCGUCGAGUCAGGCUUGGACUCGUCGAGUCUGCAUGGACUCGGCGAGUUCAGCUAUGGACUCGGCGAGCCCAGCCUCCAGAAACCAAAAAAUCGAAUUUUUCAAACAUAUCAAGCAUCAAUACAAUAGAAACCAGUCUAGGCUCUGAUACCACUGAUGGGUUUUGGUCAUAAGACAUCCUAUGUGCUCAUACAAACCCUAAUGCUUGGAUCUAGGUUUCUCUAUUGUACAUGCUUUGAAUCCAAGACUAUAAACCCUAAUUCUAGCAUAUGGAAAUCAAUAUUAACAUAUAAUUAGGUUUAAGAUAUUACCUUGAUUGUUAUGUAGCAAUAACAAUCCCAAUUCCUCCUUGAAUUGACUUUGGAAGGCUUAGAGUCACAAGUGUCACUCCUCUAAUGGCUUACAAACACCAUAAGCAAGAGGAUGAAGAGGAGAGAGGAUGGAGGCUGCCCAAAACGUGUUCUAACCCUAGAAGAGAAGUUCCCCACGUUUUUGAGCCUUAAGGGUUCUAUAUAUAGUGAGGCUAUUAGGGUUAUCUAACAAGGAAACCCUAAUUUGGUUGCUUAAGCCCUAAGCAACCCAUAGACUCCUUUAAUCAAGCCCUUGGACGAUUUCCUUAUGGGCUUCCCAUAAGAAUUCGUCCACCUCUUGAUUUAAGACAAUCCAUGGCCCAAAUUGCAAUUAUCUUAUAAUUACAAUUCCAGUCCCUUAAGUUUAAUUAAUCUCUUUUAGUCACAAAACUAAUUACCAAUUAAUUAUUGACUAAUAUUAAUUAAACAAUAUGAUUUCUCCUUUAAUAUAUUAUUCUCAUAAUAUAUUAAUAAAUCAUAUUUAAUCCUUUCUCUCCAUAAUUCAUCCUAUCAAGUUGCUUUGGUGAAGGCAACCCAAAAGGACCAUGCACCAUCGGGUCAAGUACAUACCAAAAUAGUUAUGGACUUAGACACUAAUCCAACAGUCUCCCACUUGGAUAAGUCUAAUAACUAUUCUGCGUAUGACUUCAGAUCCUGAUCUGCAAUCGUAGCUUUCCAAAGCCGCUGUCAACUCUGAUCCUAUCAGAUACGCGUGUCCUUAGAUAAGGGAUCAUAUAUUCCUCCAUUCUAGAUAUCAUAUGAGAUAUGAUUUCAAAUCAUUCUCUUUGUACUAUAUCUCGAUUCCCGAUUUAUGACGACUGACUAAUUGAACAAAUCAAAUUAGCCCUAGCCCGGCCGAGCAUUUACGUUUGUCAUCACUAAAUCAUCGAGGGGCCCAAAGAUAUCGCUUUUAUCCUACUUUGGAUAAAAGGAACGGAUAAACUUUGAUACAAUGCUUGCUUGCACUCACUCACCGAAUCACACACAACAAUAUGUUUUAUAACACCAAGUUACUAGUGCGUUUACAUAUUAUCAAUGUGCAACCGAUUUGCAAGAUACAACUCACACAUCUCGGUUUCAAGAAUAUAAGAUGUUAUCGUCUCACCAAUCACUCGUGAUACAAUUCAUGGAGUGAUCCAAGUGAGCGUGGGUUUAAUCCAAUGCUCAAAUCAUAUUCAUAAGCACUCAUGAACGUUGCAGCAAACAUUUGCUUAUGUCUAAUACUCUUUAGACAAUCCACACACCAAUUCACGACAGUCUUCAUUCAUACCUACUUCCAACAUAUGAACGACUGUGGCCCGUUCGAAUAAUUUGACUGUUCUUAACCAAUUAAAUUAUUCAGGAAGUCAAAACAUGCAAAGUGAAACACAAGAAUAAUACUAAUCCCAUAUGGCCUCAAACCUUUGAGUAUAAAUAAAACACCUUUUAUUUAUCACCAUAUCGAUUACUCAUUAUUUGUCGUUUCGGGUAAUCAACUUCUUACUUGAAUUAUUACACUUGUCCCAUGCUCCUAGCAUGCACACAAUGUUUACCUAUGGUUCUUACUUUGUGAAAUAGAUCAAAUUGAACACAUUUCCAAUCAUUCUCAUUUCACAACUCCAAAUCCUUUUUCAUAAGUGAAAGAAUAUCAAAUUCUUGCUACUUAUAGAAUAUGCUAGAUUCUAACAUUUUAUGCAAUGAUCUUUUUGUAAUGUCACUGCACCAAAGUCACAAAGACUAUUGCCAAUGAUAUUACAAAGUCCUCUAUCGGAGAUUGUUACAAGACAAUUCCUUAGAUAUGAUGUCUCUCACUCAAAGUACAUUCCUUUGAACAUCCUUUUGCAUAAAAGUUUCUAAUCUAGACAUAGAUUUUCAAUAUUCAAUUCCCAAUAUGGACACGUUUCCAUAUUUUCCAUAUGACAACUCAUUCUUAAUAGAAUCUUAUCUAUUCAUAAUAAUGUCGAUAUGGUCCAUCCAAUAUGGAAACAUUUCCAUAUUUUCCAAUACUAUACUUCCAACUACUCACAAGCGACCAAUCCUCGUCGAACUUUGGAUUGUCCUUUGAUAGUUGUUUAAUUAUUUUAGUCAAAACCGAUUCUAGUCCUUUUUCCCUCUAAAUGCGCUAGACAUUUGGAAAAUUUUAGAAUGGUCAAACAUUAAAGCAUUUGCAAUCGAUCCUAUACCCGAAGCGUAUGGGACACGACGCAUAAUGUUUUAUUUGCUAUGUUCUCAAAAUUCGAAUUGUGAAGAGGAAUGCCGUAAUCAUAAUCGAAAUUUUAAGAACACACUAUGUACCUUUGACUAAAUUUAUUAACAUUUCUCAACCUAAUCCUUUAGAUUUGAAAUGAAGCAUAAUAUUCUCUCCCUUAAUUAUAGCAAAACAACUUUUCAACUCUUACAACUUUGCAAAGUAUGACUCUUGUUUUCUAUAAUUAAUAUUGCUAACCUUGCAAUACUUUCCUUAAUAAUCAUACAAUCAUAACAUUUAUGCUCCCACUAUCAUGAUGAUUAUUAUAAAACAUAACACUUAUGCUCCCACUAGCUUCGACAUGUAUUCAUAAACAUCUUAACUUUCAGAAAAACAAUACUUAUUGAAUUUCUUAAGUUCAUGUUUCUAAUACUUAGUGCUUUGAUAAUCUUUUAUCAAGGCUUCUUGAACUUAUACACCUUUGCCUUCGAUAGUUCAUAUGUGUGUCUAAACAAUUAAGACUAAUUGCCAAACCUCACAAUUCAAAUUAUGGAAAGGGAUGCCGUAACCAUAAUUGAAUUCGAGAAUGCAAUUUUACAAUCACUAUCUUCUUAAAAUCUUUCUUAGUGAAAGCAUUUCCUCACAAUCAUUUUCAUGAAGGAGGAAAUCUUAUGACACUUAGAUUUAAACGGUGUAUGUGUUCCUAUCCAUGUGAAUUUGUUAAAACCAAAGUUUACGACAAAUUCAAACUCAUAUGGACCGAACUUUCUUAAUCUUGAUUUCUUGCCUUAUGGUAGCACAGCUGCCCACCAUGUCUUCCAAGUAGUUAAGCAGCUCACCCUUUCCUAUCAAUGUACCUUUCAUUGAUUAAGGUGCUUUGCCUUUUAUGCGUUCAAAAUGAGAACUCAUAGAACUCACAUGCAUAAUUAACUCGAUUGGAUUGGCACAGAAUCAAAAUAAUGUCAACACGAUAGGUUGUAAACCUCAACUCGUGUGCUAGUGAUGAUCGAUAAGGUUUAUUUGAUUUGUUCUUGAAACCUUUCAAGACCAUUAAGACUCCCACUGACUCCUUGACAUAUAAGAUUCUCUUGUCAAUAACCAUUUCUUGACAAACAAAUAUUCAAGAGUUAGUGUAGCUUUUAUCAAAACACUUCAUAAAUUGGUCCUAGUUGGUCUUUGUCUUAUCCAAGACAUCACAACUUUCCACAUUUAAUGAAUGUUAUAAACCUUCUUAAUACUUUUCACUCAAUGUCACAAUCUUAACUUUAAGACUUGUUAUUGGAACGAAGUAUGAUUGACUUCUUGAUUUAACCAUUUCUUCAAUUCUUGAUUCCUCUUCUUAGACAUACAAUUGUACUAAGACUCACUUAGAGGAUCAAUUGAGAUAUGGUUCUUAAUCAUUAAGACCUAUCAUAAAGCAUAAAAGGUACUCUCCCUUCUUCUUAGAAUGGAGAAACUUUUAUCUUUCUGCCUACUUGAUUCUUCUUAUUCGUUCUGCUAUUGAUUUAAACCUUUUCAAUCAAUUCAGAAUUACACUUAAUCUUAUAAGUAUAAUCAUAUUUACUAAACCUUUAGUAAAUCAUGACGAAUAUCUUUGUUACUCUUAUGGUGGACUUGAUCAACACGCAACUUUGUGUACUCGAUCUCCUAGUCCUUCACUUGACACUUUGUCAAUGAAUUAGUCUAAUUUCCAAAUAUGAAAUUUCUCAUUCAUCGUGCAACCAAGUUGCAUGAUUCCAAGUUUCUGUCCAAUUGAAACUUGGGCGAUGAGAAACUCUCCCUAUUUGGUAAAUUCUCGACUUUCCAUAAAUAACAUAAUAAGAACCAAAUCCAUUAUUGCUAAUAAUAGAAACAUUUUAACAUCAAUUUUUCAUACACGCCAUUGUAAGGAUAAAUAAAUAAAAUUUAAAAUCAAAAUUUAUUUUAUUGCGGAAAAAUUUGUCCUUACAAUGCAAUUCAUUGAAAAACUUAUGCUAAUACAUCUUUCUUAGCAAUCUAAUUCUAACUCUAAGUAGUAGCUCAAGAAUCUAAUCUUCGAGAAAUGCGAUCGAAAUCCAUUCCUUCACGGUUAGAUUCUGCUCACUUCUUCCCUUAAGCUUCCUUUCUUUUCUUCGAUCCUACAAAACAUCAAUUGUAAUCUUAUCACAUUAUGUAUUAAGAAUCUAGAAUAGAAGCUUAAAAGAGUUAGUUAAUGGAUUUUACCUAUAUUAGAGCCAUACGUUUCGACUCUCCCAUCUCUUAGAUCUCUUAGGUAAAUGGGGCAGCUUCGUCUCCAAUGCCCUUUCUCUUGGCAAUAAAAGCAAAUUGACUCUUUUGGAACAUGACAUGGAACUACUUCAGACAUUGCCUUUCUCUUAUGAUCAAACUUUUCGAUCAUAGCAUGUCUUUCGUUGCCAUUGUCUAUAUCCAUAGAGGUCUUGAAGGCAGAUUCACCAAUCAACUUUGCUUUUCUAUUGCGCCAAACCAUUGCUGAUUCAGCAGCAAUAAGCAUAUAGGUGAGAUCUAUAAGGGUCACGUCGUAGUUCAUCAUAUAGUACUCUCUUACGAACUCACUAUAUGAGUUAGGAAGUGACUGAAGAACCCAAUCAACAGCCAUUUCCUCACAGACAACGGAUCCCAACAUUCUUAACCUAUCAAUGUGUGACUUCAUCCCUAGGACGUGUGCACACACCGACUUUCCUUCUUUAUGUUUACUUGCCAAAAGGGCUUGAGUGAUCUUGAACUUUUCAAGCCUUUGAACUUGUGGGUUAGGGAGAAUAAUUGGAGGAGGUGGAGGAAGUGAAGCAUGAUUUCUUGUUCCUCGAUCGAAUCGUGGAAUAUCAUCUUCAUGUGGAAUGCUUGUUCCACGGGAUUUGGGAAGACCAUAGUUGUCGAACUUUGACAUCUACAAAACGGGAGAAAACGAAUUCAAGUUAGUUGAUUGAUUGAGUCCUUAGUAAAUCACCCAAAUGAGAUACUAAGGCUAGGACCCAACACAAUAUUCUACAACUCGGGAGAGGGAUGCCGUAACCCAAAUUGCAGAACAUUUGAAGGUAAGUGAAUGACGAUUCACUAAUUUCCACCAUGAAAAACGAAAAAGAAAUUUAAGUUUUAAAUCUAUGAAAACUCCUAGAUCCUUUGAGAUUCAUUGAACAUUUCAAUGGCAUGUUUAAAUCUCGAUAUGCCCCUCUUGUUUGUGACUGGGAUGCCGAGGAUCACAAAGCGGGUGUGAAUAACCAUGCAAACUUACAUGGUGCCCUCACAUGUUACAGUCACCUAUUCGAUGUGCCGGUAAACCACACACGCUCCACCGAACUAUGACAAACAUUGAGUCACCCUUUGCUACCUUUGCUUAGAACCAUUUAGUGUGCCGGUAAACCACACACGCUCCACUAACGUCUUCGCAAGGGCACAAAGUGUAAUUUCAUGGAAUUGCAUCAAUUCACUUUUGCCUAAGUAACUAAGAUUGGGAAUUUUAUGAAAACAUUUAGUUACUUUUAUACUUCAUUAUACUUAUAAUGGAAGGUUUUGUCCUAUCCUACCCGUUCAGCUAACGACCCUCCACUAGUCAAGAGUGCGGUGGGUAAGAGUGGAUACCCAUUCAAUCGCCAUUUUAUAGGCAAUUUCCUUAAACACCCCUUAUAGACCAG
RNAcentral lists this long non-coding RNA (7226 nucleotides) under Lactuca sativa (garden lettuce). RNAcentral's name for it is "long non-coding RNA (LSAT_LNC002158)". The record is from RNAcentral. Lineage: Eukaryota; Viridiplantae; Streptophyta; Magnoliopsida; Asterales; Asteraceae.